This 279-nucleotide ribosomal RNA is filed under the name uncultured bacterium. RNAcentral's name for it is "partial 16S ribosomal RNA". It matches the Rfam family "Bacterial small subunit ribosomal RNA", at positions 76 to 353 of the family's 1533-position model. The record is from RNAcentral.
CUUGCUAAGUUUGAUGGCGACCGGCGCACGGGUGAGUAACACGUAUCCAACCUGCCGAUGACUCGGGGAUAGCCUUUCGAAAGAAAGAUUAAUACCCGAUGGCAUAAUGAUUCCGCAUGGUUUCAUUAUUAAAGGAUUCCGGUAAAGGAUGGGGAUGCGUUCCAUUAGGUUGUUGGCGGGGUAACGGCCCACCAAGACUACGAUGGAUAGGGGUUCUGAGAGGAAGGUCCCCCACAUUGGAACUGAGACACGGUCCAAACUCCUACGGGAGGCAGCAUG